RNAcentral lists this ribosomal RNA (264 nucleotides) under uncultured archaeon. RNAcentral's name for it is "partial 16S ribosomal RNA". It matches the Rfam family "Archaeal small subunit ribosomal RNA", at positions 717 to 982 of the family's 1478-position model. The record is from RNAcentral.
ACACGACUACAUUAGAUACCCGCGUAGUCCUAGCCGUAAACGAUACUCGCUAGGUGUCGGCCACGGUGCGACCGUUGUCGGUGCCGUAGGGAAGCCGUGAAACGUGCCGCCUGGGAAGUACGGUCGCAAGGCUGAAACUUAAAGGAAUUGGCGGGGAGCACCACAACAGGUGGAGCCUGCGGUUUAAUUGGACUCAACGCCGGAAAUCUCACCGGAUAAGACAGCAGAAUGAUUGCCGGGCUGAAGACUCUGCAUGACUAGCUG